This 465-nucleotide ribosomal RNA is filed under the name uncultured bacterium. RNAcentral describes it as "bacterial SSU rRNA". It matches the Rfam family "Bacterial small subunit ribosomal RNA", at positions 338 to 795 of the family's 1533-position model. The record is from RNAcentral.
CCUACGGGCGGCACCAGUGGGGAAUAUCGCACAAUGGGCGCAAGCCUGAUGCAGCCAUGCCGCGUGUAUGAAGAAGGCCUUCGGGUUGUAAAGUACUUUCAGCGGGGAGGAAGGUGUCGUGGUUAAUAACCACAGCAAUUGACGUUACCCGCAGAAGAAGCACCGGCUAACUCCGUGCCAGCAGCCGCGGUAAUACGGAGGGUGCAAGCGUUAAUCGGAACUACUGGGCGUAAAGCGCACGCAGGCGGUCUGUCAAGUCGGAUGUGAAAUCCCCGGGCUCAACCUGGGAACUGCAUCCGAAACUGGCAGGCUAGAGUCUUGUAGAGGGGGGUAGAAUUCCAGGUGUAGCGGUGAAAUGCGUAGAGAUCUGGAGGAAUACCGGUGGCGAAAGCGGCCCCCUGGACAAAGACUGACGCCCAGGUGCGAAAGCGUGGGGAGCAAACAGGAUUAGAUACCCCCGUAGUC